AGGAUAUAUAUAUAUAGAGAGAGAGAGUAUGAUUGUCGUGUGUUCAGGAGCACGAAAGUCUCUGUGCCUUUUUGUUGAUAGAAUUUCUGAAUCAACGAUCUGCUUUAUUAGAUUUGAUUUACCAUAUUUGAAGUAUCUAGAAAAUAAAUUUUAUGAUUUUUCAAUAUCAUUUACCUACUGAUUGAAAGGGUUCAAAAUCAACAGCUGAAAAAAAAAUAAUCUCACAAAAAGUGAUGAUAUAAUAUUAAAAUUUUCAAUCAGAAAUAUUGAUAUAACUAGCUGUGGAUAGCAUAAAAAAUUUUCUAUCAAAAUUUCAUCUGAUUUAGAUACUUCUAUAUCGUUAAAUUGGGAAACAAUAGAUAUCUACCAUUAAAAAUUAUUGAUUUGGAGAAGAAUUAUAAAAUAUAAAAUAUAUUUUUUAAAUACUUCAAAUACGCUAGAUAAAGUUUAACAUAACUGAUCGUCAAUUCGAAAAUUUCAUCAUCGAAAACGGCUUAGGAGCACAGAGGCUUUUAUGCUAUUAUAAGAGUAUAGCAGUCCUGCUAUAUAUAUAUAUAUAGAGAGAGAGAG
RNAcentral lists this long non-coding RNA (570 nucleotides) under Ananas comosus (pineapple). Its description in RNAcentral is "long non-coding RNA (ACOM_LNC035911)". The record is from RNAcentral. Lineage: Eukaryota; Viridiplantae; Streptophyta; Magnoliopsida; Poales; Bromeliaceae.